This 750-nucleotide ribosomal RNA is filed under the name Vibrio sp. B37bio. Its description in RNAcentral is "bacterial SSU rRNA". It matches the Rfam family "Bacterial small subunit ribosomal RNA", at positions 8 to 738 of the family's 1533-position model. Lineage: Bacteria; Pseudomonadati; Pseudomonadota; Gammaproteobacteria; Vibrionales; Vibrionaceae. The record is from RNAcentral.
AGAGUUUGAUCAUGGCUCAGAGUGAACGCUGGCGGCAGGCCUAACACAUGCAAGUCGAGCGGAAACGAGUUAUCUGAACCUUCGGGGAACGAUAACGGCGUCGAGCGGCGGACGGGUGAGUAAUGCCUAGGAAAUUGCCCUGAUGUGGGGGAUAACCAUUGGAAACGAUGGCUAAUACCGCAUGAUGCCUACGGGCCAAAGAGGGGGACCUUCGGGCCUCUCGCGUCAGGAUAUGCCUAGGUGGGAUUAGCUAGUUGGUGAGGUAAGGGCUCACCAAGGCGACGAUCCCUAGCUGGUCUGAGAGGAUGAUCAGCCACACUGGAACUGAGACACGGUCCAGACUCCUACGGGAGGCAGCAGUGGGGAAUAUUGCACAAUGGGCGCAAGCCUGAUGCAGCCAUGCCGCGUGUGUGAAGAAGGCCUUCGGGUUGUAAAGCACUUUCAGUCGUGAGGAAGGUAGUGUAGUUAAUAGCUGCAUUAUUUGACGUUAGCGACAGAAGAAGCACCGGCUAACUCCGUGCCAGCAGCCGCGGUAAUACGGAGGGUGCGAGCGUUAAUCGGAAUUACUGGGCGUAAAGCGCAUGCAGGUGGUUUGUUAAGUCAGAUGUGAAAGCCCGGGGCUCAACACUCGGAAUAGCAUUUGAAACUGGCAGACUAGAGUACUGUAGAGGGGGGUAGAAUUUCAGGUGUAGCGGUGAAAUGCGUAGAGAUCUGAAGGAAUACCGGGGCGAAGGCGGCCCCCUGACAGAU